RNAcentral lists this ribosomal RNA (118 nucleotides) under Halomonas halocynthiae. The record is from RNAcentral. Lineage: Bacteria; Pseudomonadati; Pseudomonadota; Gammaproteobacteria; Oceanospirillales; Halomonadaceae.
GCCUGACGACCAUAGCGUGCGUGAACCACCUGAUCCCUUGCCGAACUCAGUAGUGAAACCGCUCCGCGCCGAUGGUAGUGUGGGGUCUCCCCAUGCGAGAGUAGGUCAUCGUCAGGCA